Molecule: long non-coding RNA, 381 nt
Filed under: Ananas comosus (pineapple)
Lineage: Eukaryota; Viridiplantae; Streptophyta; Magnoliopsida; Poales; Bromeliaceae
Description: long non-coding RNA (ACOM_LNC043929)
Source: RNAcentral
CGGCUCAACAGCACAACGAGGAGGAUCUGAUCGGCGCCGACCUUCCCCGUGUGUGAUCUGCGGUGGCCCCCAUUACCCACCGCAGAGUCCACAGCGGGCGGGCAGGUGCUUCCAGUGUGGCCAGGAGGGCCACGUCCGUACUGAGUGCCCGAGAGGUUCUUCACCGGCACCGUCGACUGCAUCGGCACUGGCUCUACCAGCCGUCAGCCACGGGACUCCGAUGACACAGUACCAGCUUGGGCGGCCACCCGUGCAGCGCCAGAGCGAGGGAUCUCGACAGGUCCCGAGUGGGCGCAUGUACGCCGCUCAGACCAAGGAGGCGGCAGCAGCCGAGGAUGUGGUUGCAGGUAUCAUUUUACUUGAUGGCAUUAGAGUUCGUGC